RNAcentral lists this long non-coding RNA (970 nucleotides) under Salmo salar (Atlantic salmon). RNAcentral's name for it is "lncRNA (ENSSSAG00000114777.1)". Lineage: Eukaryota; Metazoa; Chordata; Actinopteri; Salmoniformes; Salmonidae. The record is from RNAcentral.
AGAAAAGGGAGCUGAGGACAUUGAAGCAACCUUCGGGGGCCUCCCAGACAAUAGAGCCCAGGGGCAGGUCAACCCCCCUGAUGCCCAGGGCAACACACUAGGGGAUCGGAAUGAGCACCAUCAAGACAACCCCAGAGUCAUAAGACAACUGCAGCUUCCCUUCUAAUUAGAUUUCCCAUUGGCAAGAGGAGGAGGAGCAGCGCUAAUCAACUCCAGUACAUCUCCACUACACAGCCUUGGUCAGCCCUGCUCUCUACUCCUCACACACCGGACAUGUUUGGGUUGGAAAUCAUCACGCAGGCUGGAUUCUGGAGGGGAGCGGCUAAGCAGAGCGAGGGCGAGUGUGGUGGGUCCAAUGCUCUUCUCUCUCAGCUGUUAUUCAUAGGAAGCAGGGGCGGACCGGGACCAGAAAUCGUCCCUGGCAUUUCUAACACACCGGCACAUUUUUUCUCUUGAGGCCCCCAUUAUUAGACAGAUAAUGGUCAAAACAACAAGUUAGACCCACUGGGCUAAAAAUGAACAAGCCCAUCUGGCAUUUGUGCAAAAUGAUCAUUAUCUGUCUGAUAAACUGGGCCUCGGGAAACAUUUUGCCUGUGUGGGGGCCUCGAGGGAAAAGAUCGGCCAGUGUGUUAGAAAUGCCAGAGACGAUUUCUGGUCCCAGUCUGCCCAUGAGAGGAAGGACAGCUGGCUUGCUACUCCCAACACACUUAAACUCCACAGUGAAGUUAUGAUGAUUUCCCUGCAUGUGAUAACCUCUGUUCAUUAAUUCCCAUGAAACUUGGCCAAAGAAAGAGAAGCUUACUUCCCUUAUGGGUGGGAUAGAAAAUGAACGGACAAACCAUGCAUGCUGACCACACUAGCCAACUCCUGUUGACAUUUUUGGAAGGUGUGUGUAACGGUAAUGGUGUUGGCGUGGUGGAGACAGGAGAUGGGAGACAUACUGUAGACCUAUUUAAGUGUUAGUGAUGUG